Molecule: ribosomal RNA, 509 nt
Filed under: uncultured Eubacteriales bacterium
Lineage: Bacteria; Bacillati; Bacillota; Clostridia; Eubacteriales
Description: bacterial SSU rRNA
Rfam family: Bacterial small subunit ribosomal RNA
Source: RNAcentral
AGAGUUUUGAUCCUGGCUCAGGAUGAACGCUGCGGCUGCUUAACACAUGCAAGUCGAACGGAACUGUCAUUUUUGAAGCAUUAGCUGCUAAGGGUGGAAAUGUUGGCAGUUUAGUGGCGGACGGGUGAGUAACGCGUGGGUAACCUGCCUUACACAGGGGGAUAACACCUGGAAACAGGUGCUAAUACCGCAUAACAGGAAGAGGCGCAUGCCACUUUCUUGAAAACUCCGGUGGUGUAAGAUGGACCCGCGUCUGAUUAGCUAGUUGGCGGGGUAACGGCCCACCAAGGCGACGAUCAGUAGCCGGCCUGAGAGGGUGGACGGCCACAUUAGGACUGAGACACGGCCCAAACUCCUACGGGAGGCAGCAGUGGGGAAUAUUGGACAAUGGGGGGAACCCUGAUCCAGCGACGCCGCGUGAGUGAAGAAGUAUUUCGGUAUGUAAAGCUCUAUCAGCAGGGAAGAAAGAAAUGACGGUACCUGACUAAGAAGCCCCGGCUAACUACGUG